AAUGAACGCUGGCGGCGUGCCUAAUACAUGCGAGUCGAACGAGAAAGUGGCUUCGGUCAUGAGUACAGUGGCAGACGGGUGAGUAAUACAUAGGUAACCUACCUCUAAGUUGGGGAUAACCUUCCGAAAGGAGGGCUAAUACCGAAUAAGACUAGGAAGACACAUGUCUUUGCAGCCAAAGAUGGCCUCUAUUUAUAAGCUAUCGCUUGGAGAUGGGCUUAUGCACCAUUAGCUAGUUGGUAGGGUAAAAGCCUACCAAGGCUGUGAUGGUUAGCUGAUCUGAGAGGUUGAUCAGCCACACUGGAACUGAGACACGGUCCAGACUCCUACGGGAGGCAGCAGUAGGGAAUAUUGCGCAAUGGAGGAAACUCUGACGCAGCGACGCCGCGUGGGUGACGAAGGCUUCGGGUCGUAAAACCCUGUCGGAAGGGACGAAUUGCCACUCAAUUAAUACGUGAGUGGAGUGACGGUACCUUUAAAGGAAGC
Molecule: ribosomal RNA, 486 nt
Filed under: uncultured bacterium
Lineage: Bacteria
Description: bacterial SSU rRNA
Rfam family: Bacterial small subunit ribosomal RNA
Source: RNAcentral